GAUGAACGCUGACAGAAUGCUUAACACAUGCAAGUCAACUUGAAUUUGGGUUUUUUAACUUAGAUUUGGGUGGCGGACGGGUGAGCAACGCGUAAAGAACUUGCCUCACAGCUAGGGACAACAUUUGGAAACGAAUGCUAAUACCUGAUAUUAUGAUUAUAAGGCAUCUUAGAAUUAUGAAAGCUAUAUGCGCUGUGAGAGAGCUUUGCGUCCCAUUAGCUAGUUGGAGAGGUAACGGCUCACCAAGGCGAUGAUGGGUAGCCGGCCUGAGAGGGUGAACGGCCACAAGGGGACUGAGGCACGGCCCUUACUCCUACGGGAGGCAGCAGUGGGGAAUAUUGGACAAUGGACCAAGAGUCUGAUCCAGCAAUUCUGUGUGCACGAUGACGUUUUUCGGAAUGUAAAGUGCUUUCAGUUGGGAAGAAAAAAAUGACGGUACCAACAGAAGAAGAGACGGCUAAAUACGUG
RNAcentral lists this ribosomal RNA (468 nucleotides) under uncultured bacterium. RNAcentral's name for it is "partial 16S ribosomal RNA". It matches the Rfam family "Bacterial small subunit ribosomal RNA", at positions 28 to 507 of the family's 1533-position model. The record is from RNAcentral.